AGUUUAGUAUUCAAGUAUGAUUUUAAAUUGCAAAUUUAAAGGUAAAUUAAUUUUCUAAACUU
This 62-nucleotide transfer RNA is filed under the name Scirtidae sp. BMNH 1274304. RNAcentral describes it as "tRNA-Cys". The record is from RNAcentral. Lineage: Eukaryota; Metazoa; Arthropoda; Insecta; Coleoptera; Scirtidae.